AACCCGACUCCGUGAAGCUGGAUUCGCUAGUAAUCGCGCAUCAGCCAUGGCGCGGUGAAUACGUUCCCGGGCCUUGUACACACCGCCCGUCAAGCCAUGGGAGCCGGGAGCGCUUGAAGUGCGUCGCCGCGAGGCGCGCCCUAGAGCGAGACCGGUGACUGGGGCUAAGUCGUAACAAGGUAAC
RNAcentral lists this ribosomal RNA (184 nucleotides) under uncultured bacterium. RNAcentral describes it as "partial 16S ribosomal RNA". It matches the Rfam family "Bacterial small subunit ribosomal RNA", at positions 1309 to 1500 of the family's 1533-position model. The record is from RNAcentral.